This 528-nucleotide long non-coding RNA is filed under the name Anas platyrhynchos platyrhynchos (common mallard). RNAcentral's name for it is "lncRNA (ENSAPLG00000019963.1)". Lineage: Eukaryota; Metazoa; Chordata; Aves; Anseriformes; Anatidae. The record is from RNAcentral.
AACAAAGUAUAUGUAUUGAUUUAAAAAUGAAAAACAGAAACAUUCCAAAUAUUUACAAAUUAUUUCUUCUGCUACUUACCCCCUAGGUAACAGAGAAAUGAUCUGUGUUGGGUAAGAGACUGUAGAUUGUGAAUAAUUUUAAGGUCCAAUGCAGCUCUGAAUUCCAGACCCAUCCAACUUCUCAGAUGUCUAGCAGAGUUUAUGUAAGUUUUGACUGAGUUAAAUACCAAUAUAUUUUUGUUUGACAGCAUGACCUAUACAUUGUGGGCAAAGAGUUCUUGCACUCUUCUAGUAAUCUCAUUCUAUGCUUUUUCAGUCUGUUUACUUCUCCCUGAAAUGAUCAUGACCUUCUGCCAGAUUUUCUUGAAGGUUAUGCUAAUCUUUAUUGGCAAGAGAAACAGUAGCUGGAACAAAAAAAGUGAAAGAGAAUGCCACAUGAGAAUGAACAGCAUGCAGAGCGUGAGAAGUUUCUGCAAUAGCUGGAACUGGAGCAGCUUUGUCAGCAUGCAGUCCCUGGAGCAAAUAUAG